UUGAUCAUGUUUCUUUUAUUUUUCUUUACGUUUUUUUUUUUUAUUAAAUUACACAUUCAAUUUUACCUUUGUAUUUGUAUUCCAUCAAGAGGAACUAUAUGACACUCAAUAAGGGCAAAUAAUGAACAUGCAGUAACAAAAAUAUAGCACUAAGAAAGGGCGAUAAUAAAUAGCAUUGGAGUUACCAAAGGGAGAUAACUCCUAUUGGUCAACAAACCAUCACAACACCUUGUCUAAGUAGCACUGGUGAAAUGGUGUUCUGAUUGAUAGGAAACGAUAUGAAAAGCAUCUGUAACGGAGGACAACUUACAACUAAUCCAUAAAAAAAAAUAAACGAUUGUGCUAGUCCUGUGGAAAUAGAUUCAGUGUAUUCCUGGUAUGCAUUAUAAUGUGUUUCAAGUAUGUGUGAAUAUAUUCAUAUUGCCAUUCACUUUUUAUGAAAUUUUCGUACUCCAUGUAUAAUGUAUUCACAUAUAUCAUUUACUUUCAAAAUAAACAAGACACUUGUGUAGCAAGUCUGCAAAACUAAAAAUGUAUCCUUUUACUUAUAUAUACAUAAACAUAUAAUACAUACUUCUAUUCAUAUAAUAUCCAUGGUUACCAGAACUUGCAUACAAUACCAAGUAUUCAUUCCAACAACAAAAGAAAUGAUGGUACACUUUUAAAACAAAAUGUCACUUUAUUAUUCAAUAUAAAUUUCAGCCUACAGACUCGUAUUCCUGAAGUUCAUUGAUUGGUUGUAGUAUAAACAUAUAUGUUCCCCAUUCAGUUCUCCAGAGGACAGCUAGAUAUAUUGACUAUGUCUACAAUGUUGGGACCCAGGAUAGGGUAUCACAGAGAAAAUUCAUGACAUGUACUUUAAAACAGUGCAGAUAUUAGACGGUAAUUGAAAAAGGCAGUGGUUAAUAAAGGCCUUGGGAACAGAGGUGUCUGGGAAACGGGCCUCAGGACAGAGGUGUCUGGGAAACGGGCCUCAGGACAGAGGUGUCUGGGAAACGGGCCUCAGGACAGAGGUGUCUGGGAAACGGGCCUCAGGACAGAGGUGUCUGGGAAACGGGCCUCAGGACAGAGGUGUCUGGGAAACGGGCCUCAGGACAGAGGUGUCUGGGAAACGGGCCUCAGGACAGAGGUGUCUGGGAAACGGGCCUCAGGACAGAGGUGUCUGGGAAACGGGCCUCAGGACAGAGGUGUCUGGGAAACGGGCCUCAGGACAGAGGUGUCUGGGAAACGGGCCUCAGGACAGAGGUGUCUGGGAAACGGGCCUCAGGACAGAGGUGUCAGGGAAACGGACUUCAGGACAGAGGUGUCUGGGACACGGGCCUCAGGACAGAGGUGUCUGGGACACGGGCCUCAGGACAGAGGUGUCUAGGACACAGACUGAAGACAGGACUGUCUAGGACAAAGAAAAAAGGGGGAGUGAUCAACACUGGCCUUCCAACAAAUGUGUCUAGGAUGCAAUAUUGGCCUCAGAACAGGUGUAUCUAGGACAGAGAGAAAAGAAAAGUGGUCAACAUUAGCCUUGGGACAGGAGUGUCUUGGGCAAAGACGAAGAGAGAACGAUCAGUAUUGAACAGGUGUAUCUAGGAC
This 1587-nucleotide long non-coding RNA is filed under the name Mizuhopecten yessoensis (Yesso scallop). Its description in RNAcentral is "uncharacterized LOC110466298". Lineage: Eukaryota; Metazoa; Mollusca; Bivalvia; Pectinida; Pectinidae. The record is from RNAcentral.